RNAcentral lists this ribosomal RNA (661 nucleotides) under uncultured bacterium. RNAcentral describes it as "bacterial SSU rRNA". It matches the Rfam family "Bacterial small subunit ribosomal RNA", at positions 188 to 851 of the family's 1533-position model. The record is from RNAcentral.
CAUGGCAUUGUAUUGAAAGUUACGGCGGCGACGGAUUGGCUCGCGUCCGAUUAGCUGGUUGGCGGGGUAACGGCCCACCAAGGCUACGAUCGGUAGGGGUUCUGAGAGGAAGGCCCCCCACAAUGGGACUGAGACACGGCCCAUACUCCUACGGGAGGCAGCAGUGAGGAAUAUUGGUCAAUGGGCGGAAGCCUGAACCAGCCAUGCCGCGUGCGGGAAGGAGGCCCUAUGGGCUGUGAACCGCUUUUGCCUGGGGGCAAUAAGGGCGUCGCGCACGUCCGAUGAGAGUACCAGGCGAAUAAGCAUCGGCUAACUCCGUGCCAGCAGCCGCGGUAAUACGGGGGAUGCGAGCGUUAUCCGGAUUCAUUGGGUUUAAAGGGUGCGUAGGCUGUGCGUCAAGUCGGGGGUGAAAUUCCGGUGCUCAACACCGGGGCUGCCCUUGAUACUGUCGCGCUGGAGUGCGGAUGCCGCCGGAGGAAUGAGUGGUGUAGCGGUGAAAUGCUUAGAUAUCACUCAGAACACCGAUUGCGAAGGCAUCUGGCGAAUCCGUAACUGACGCUGAGGCACGAAAGCGUGGGGAUAGAACAGGAUUAGAUACCCUGGUAUUCCACGCCGUAAACGAUGAUGGCUAACCGCCGGCGACACACUGUCGGUGGCCAAG